RNAcentral lists this long non-coding RNA (1655 nucleotides) under Sus scrofa (pig). RNAcentral's name for it is "lncRNA (ENSSSCG00030049161.1)". Lineage: Eukaryota; Metazoa; Chordata; Mammalia; Artiodactyla; Suidae. The record is from RNAcentral.
CUCUUUUCCGCCAGCCGCCGCCGCCGUUUUCCCCGGUAUGGACGAACAGCGGGCGAGGUCUUUUAUGCCUUUCGCGGGAAGGUCAACAAACGGUGAGAAGCUAUCGAAAACGACCUGUUUUACCACAUUUCCAGGCCACUUGACCCACGGGGACCUGACUUUGCAACAUUCGUCGGGGGCGCUGCAAAAAGCUUAGCUUCUCGGAAACUCAGGCCUGCCUGUGUCUCUCAAGGAUGGACAGAGGUGGUUGUGGACUUAAAGACCCUUUGAUGUAAGGGAUAGAGAGAAGCUAAGUGAGCGCACCCAUCUCUGAGCAUUUCAACCGCGAGGGAAUCCGAGCAAAGUAACAAUAAGAUACAACUAAUAUCCUAGGAAUGCUGCUGGUUUCACGGAGCCAAAGCUGGAGAGGAGUUUGCCUGAGGAUGAAUUGUGCCGCAGCUCUUACCCAUAUCUGACUCGGAUGACAAUCUUGAGGCUGUUGGGAUGGAAUGUGUGCAUUUUGCAUGCAAGAAGGAUGUGAAUCGGGAGGAUGGAGCCAGUGGUGGAUUAUCAUGGACCGAUUAUUAUUAUCACCUCCGAGUCACAUGUUGAAGCCCUAGAACCCAGUGUGGCUCUAUUUAGAGAUAGGGGCUCCUAAGUUGGUUUACAGUGUUCUGUCAAUUUUCUCCUGUACUGUCGGGAGCCAUAAGGCUGCUCCAGUAAAGAAAGCAAAGCCACAGUCGGCACCUGCAUGAGGCUUGUCUGGUUAGCAGAGCUACAGACAAGCUGAAGAAAGAAGAAGGAUUGCAGAGCAAUCCCUUGAAAGACAUCGGCUCCAGGAAAAUAAAAAUGAUAUCCCCUAAAAAAUAUGUUAAUCUAUUUUUCUGUGUUUAUCUUUCCUUUUCUAUCUCUAUUCACAGCUUUCUUACUGCUAAAGAUUUGCCCUGGGUACGUAAAACACUUGAACCAAAACAGAAUGAAGUUAUUUAAACAAUGUAAUGGAAAAAGCCUUUGUUUUGGAGUAACAAUUUAUGGCACCUAUUUUGUGAGAGUAUACAGGGGAAACUUAUGAUUUCAGUCCCUUUACUUAAAAAGAAGUUUGGGGCUGGGAAAAUGUUGUUUGGCCUAUAAAUUGCUAUUUUCUAUAAUAGAUAUAUUUUUUAACAGUGUCACUUGUAACUUUCAUCCCUUGUGGGGGCAUUUGUUAAUUUUUGGGUAUAAUACUCCUUUCUAUUGAAAUUGGUGGUUUGGAACUUACGUAAAUCAGCACAAUAGGUUAAAUGCUUAGCUUGCUGGCGCCAAAUAAAUCGUGGUUUUAAGAAUGCCAUGAGCCCAAGGCUUUCAUGCGUUUUGUUAACCACAUACACCUUUAGUUAAAGAAUGUUAGGUAUCAUAGUUUAUUACUUAUUAAAGCUUUGUUCUUAAUAUAGAAUAGAAUAGCUACUGUUGUUGACCUUUUAAGAAAAAUACAGUGUGAAACUUUAAGUUUGUAAUCUUGAAGGAAAAUCUAAAGUUGAAAGGAACAUGUUUUAACUAACCUUUUUUUGUAUCUCGGGUGGAGGGAACAAAAGGGCUUUAAAUCAAAUGUUAAUGUCAAAUCUUACACGAAACCUGAUUGUGAUAGGGUAUAAAAACUGAUGCUUUUCAUUUAAUAAAUUGGGUCAUCUGCAGCAUGC